This 508-nucleotide ribosomal RNA is filed under the name uncultured Bacilli bacterium. RNAcentral describes it as "bacterial SSU rRNA". It matches the Rfam family "Bacterial small subunit ribosomal RNA", at positions 219 to 719 of the family's 1533-position model. Lineage: Bacteria; Bacillati; Bacillota; Bacilli. The record is from RNAcentral.
UACAAGAUGGACCCGCGUCUGAUUAGCUGGUUGGUGAGGUAACGGCCCACCAAGGCGACGAUCAGUAGCCGGCCUGAGAGGGUGAACGGCCACAUUGGGACUGAGACACGGCCCAGACUCCUACGGGAGGCAGCAGUAGGGAAUCUUCGGCAAUGGGGGCAACCCUGACCGAGCAACGCCGCGUGAGUGAAGAAGGUUUUCGGAUCGUAAAGCUCUGUUGUAAGUCAAGAACGGGUGUGAGAGUGGAAAGUUCACACUGUGACGGUAGCUUACCAGAAAGGGACGGCUAACUACGUGCCAGCAGCCGCGGUAAUACGUAGGUCCCGAGCGUUGUCCGGAUUUAUUGGGCGUAAAGCGAGCGCAGGCGGUUUGAUAAGUCUGAAGUUAAAGGCUGUGGCUCAACCAUAGUUCGCUUUGGAAACUGUCAAACUUGAGUGCAGAAGGGGAGAGUGGAAUUCCAUGUGUAGCGGUGAAAUGCGUAGAUAUAUGGAGGAACACCGGUGGCGAA